CGUGGACGCCAGUCUGCGUGGAGCCAACCUUGAAAUACCACCCUUUAAUGUUUGAUGUUCUAACGUUGGCCCCUUACCGGGGUUGCGGACAGUGUCUGGUGGGUAGUUUGACUGGGGCGGUCUCCUCCCAAAGCGUAACGGAGGAGCACGAAGGUUAGCUAAUCCUGGUCGGACAUCAGGAGGUUAGUGCAAUGGCAUAAGCUAGCUUGACUGCGAGCGUGACGGCGCGAGCAGGUGCGAAAGCAGGUCAUAGUGAUCCGGUGGUUCUGAAUGGAAGGGCCAUCGCUCAACGGAUAAAAGGUACUCCGGGGAUAACAGGCUGAUACCGCCCAAGAGUUCAUAUCGACGGCGGUGUUUGGCACCUCGAUGUCGGCUCAUCACAUCCUGGGGCUGAAGUAGGUCCCAAGGGUAUGGCUGUUCGCCAUUUAAAGUGGUACGCGAGCUGGGUUUAGAACGUCGUGAGACAGUUCGGUCCCUAUCUGCCGUGGGCGCUGGAGAAUUGAGGGGGGCUGCUCCUAGUACGAGAGGACCGGAGUGGACGCAUCACUGGUGUUCGGGUUGUCAUGCCAAUGGCACUGCCCGGUAGCUAAAUGCGGAAGAGAUAAGUGCUGAAAGCAUCUAAGCACGAAACUUGCCCCGAGAUGAGUUCUCCCUGAGACUU
RNAcentral lists this ribosomal RNA (661 nucleotides) under Klebsiella pneumoniae. Its description in RNAcentral is "partial 23S ribosomal RNA". It matches the Rfam family "Bacterial large subunit ribosomal RNA", at positions 2163 to 2823 of the family's 2925-position model. The record is from RNAcentral. Lineage: Bacteria; Pseudomonadati; Pseudomonadota; Gammaproteobacteria; Enterobacterales; Enterobacteriaceae.